RNAcentral lists this ribosomal RNA (465 nucleotides) under uncultured bacterium. Its description in RNAcentral is "bacterial SSU rRNA". It matches the Rfam family "Bacterial small subunit ribosomal RNA", at positions 27 to 507 of the family's 1533-position model. The record is from RNAcentral.
GGUUAACGGCUGGCGGCGUGCCUAACACAUGCAAGUCGAACGGUUCUAAGCGCGAGCUUAGGAUAGUGGCGAACGGGUGAGUAAAAGGUAGGAAUCUACCCCUUGGACGGAGAUAGCUACUGGAAACGGUAGGUAAACUUCGAUAAGCCCGAGAGGGGAAAGUGGUGAGACAGCCGAGGGAUGAGCCUACUCUCCAUCAGGUAGUUGGUGAGAUAAAAGCUUACCAAGCCGAUGACGGAUAACCGGUGUGAGAGCAUGAACGGUCACAAGGGCACUGAGAGACGGGCCCUACUCCUACGGGAGGCAGCAGUGGGGAAUCUUGGACAAUGGGCGAAAGCCUGAUCCAGCGACGCCGCGUGGAGGAAGAAGUCCUUCGGGAUGUAAACUUCUGAACUAGCCGAAUAAAAGGCCUGUGGACACACAGGAGAAGAAAGUAGGCUAGGAAAAGUCCCGGCUAACUACGUG